This is a long non-coding RNA of Rhododendron vialii, 369 nucleotides long. RefSeq lists it as uncharacterized. The record is from RefSeq and is a predicted model, not a curated record. Lineage: Eukaryota; Viridiplantae; Streptophyta; Magnoliopsida; Ericales; Ericaceae. The transcript has 2 exons.
UUUACUUCUUUGCUUUUGGAAUUAAACUUUGAGCUCAUAUGUGCGGAAUAUUUGUUAGGUUCGGAGGCGACAACGAGUACCGCAGCUCCACGUAGGGAGUGACUGCGUUGGUUUUCUUUUUGUUGGAGACCGAGUUUUGCAGGUAUAGGUCGGUGUCCACUACAGGUCGCGUUUUGCAUUUUGUGACUCGCUCGAGAAGUGCGUAGUUGAGGCCUGUGGGAGUCCUUGUCUCCUGGCCCGUAGAUGAUUUUUGCUUAGUUUAGUUUUGGAUAUUAGUUGGUUAUGUUUAUUUCUUGACAGACUUCCGCUGUAGUUUGUAAAUGACAAUCAUUUUUGAGAUGUAAAUAAAAUGUGGCUUUUAAACUUCAA